Molecule: ribosomal RNA, 253 nt
Filed under: uncultured microorganism
Description: partial 16S ribosomal RNA
Rfam family: Bacterial small subunit ribosomal RNA
Source: RNAcentral
UACGGAGGGGGCGAGCGUUAUCCGGAAUUAUUGGGCGUAAAGCGUGCGCAGGCGGCCCGUUAAGACAGGUGUGAAAUCCCUGGGCUCAACCUAGGAAUUGCGCUUGUGACUGGCGGGCUCGAGUACGGUAGAGGGGGGUGGAAUUCCUGGUGUAGCAGUGAAAUGCGUAGAGAUCAGGAGGAACACCGAUGGCGAAGGCAGCCCCCUGGGCCUGUACUGACGCUCAUGCACGAAAGCGUGGGGAGCAAACAGG